GUACUAGAUAUGUGGAGGUGACUCUCAAUAGACUUCGGAGAAGAUUGAGUUAAGUGCAGAGAUGGCUCGGAGGGCGAACACUCUGCUAUGUUGUACCAUUAUUUUAUGAUAAUUGACUACGUGAGGUCCACUAUGGAGCAUCUGUAAUCUUUAGUGUAUAUGUAUCUUUAUUGUUUUGUUAUGCGUGUAAUCUUUAUACGUAUCUCUAGUGAUUGUUAUGAAUGUUGAAUGGUGUAAUUUUCAUGUGAAUUGUUUUUAUCUUUAUGAAGGUCGAUUGGUGUAAAUUAUGAAUAUUGAUCAAGUUCUUUAUCUAAUAUGAAGAUCUAUGUCCAUUUAUUAUGUAAU
RNAcentral lists this long non-coding RNA (345 nucleotides) under Setaria viridis. RNAcentral's name for it is "long non-coding RNA (SVIR_LNC010489)". The record is from RNAcentral. Lineage: Eukaryota; Viridiplantae; Streptophyta; Magnoliopsida; Poales; Poaceae.